This 618-nucleotide long non-coding RNA is filed under the name Cyanistes caeruleus (blue tit). RNAcentral's name for it is "lncRNA (ENSCCEG00000018610.1)". Lineage: Eukaryota; Metazoa; Chordata; Aves; Passeriformes; Paridae. The record is from RNAcentral.
AGUGAAGCCACCAGUGUCUUCCACAGGUUUGUCCCUUCAAAAGUCAGGAGAGCUCAAUGCAGUUAUGAAAAUGAAAACUCUGUGUCCUAUGAAUUCCAAGGAGGGAUCCUACCUUCAAUUCCAUCAUCGCCCAUUCACAAUGUCACCAAGGAGACAAGCUAGAAGGCAGCCCUGUCUAACUGGGCCAUAUCUGAAUCAGCACAAUGCCUAUUUGGUAGAGUUGUGUAUGUUCCUCGCCAAAUUGCUGGGAAGGAAGGAAUCUGCAAUAUAACAGAAAAAAGGACUUCCAGAUGGACAACAAAAUUCAUGAACAACUAAUGAAUCAACAAGAAGAUAUCUAAGAUGGGAGUGGAGAGAUGAAUCACUUUCUUCCAGCAACUGCUUUUCACCAUUGACUACAAAGAAAGUCUGGAAUCACAGUGUAAAUUCGAUGUCUAACACUGAUAAAAUUAAAUGAGUCCUACCCUAAAUAUCUACCACCCCAUAAGUUCUUUUCAUUGUUGUUAAUGGUUGAUUUCACUUUUAGCUCUUAUAUACUUGCAAAUUGCUCUUGCUCUCUGCUUUUCUAUACAUCAGGGGAAUAUUUAUACAGAGUAAAUAAAUAUUUUCCAAAUUACA